RNAcentral lists this unclassified non-coding RNA (133 nucleotides) under uncultured fungus. Its description in RNAcentral is "sequence contains ITS1". Lineage: Eukaryota; Fungi. The record is from RNAcentral.
UUAUUAUUAUAUUUUAUUAUUUUUAUUAAGACAAAGAUUUGAUAAAAAAUAUUUUUUUUAAUGCACAAUAAAGUAAAUAAUAAUAAUAAUAAUAUUUUUGAUAAUGAUCCUUCCGCAGGUUCACCUACGGAAA